This is a long non-coding RNA of Lolium perenne, 888 nucleotides long. RefSeq lists it as uncharacterized. NCBI's taxonomy places the organism in Eukaryota, Viridiplantae, Streptophyta, Magnoliopsida, Poales, Poaceae. The record is from RefSeq and is a predicted model, not a curated record.
ACCGUGAACUCGUUUUGCAGCACGGGUCCGGCCUCCAGUCCGCGCUCCGCCUUCUAGGUGCCAGCCAGAAGCAGCUCCCGAGUCUCCAGUGGAGCCACCAAGCUUUUGGCAGAAGGUGAAUGAGGUGUGGAAGCGUAUCUCAUGGAAGUCCGUUUCCACACUUGUACUGCUUAUUGGGUGCACAGUUGUCGGAUAUUUUGCAAACAAAGAGGUCCCAUGGGCAUUGUUCAUCGUCGAUGUACUAGACAAGGGGAACAAAACAUACAAACCCACUCUGGAGUUUGCAGUUCUACUAGUAGCAGUUAUCAUUUCUUUGUCCUCGAAGUAGAUGCAGAACAUUAGAUGUACCCGACAAGGCGAGCAAUGCUUUAAAAUCUGUUUUGGUAUUUGCAUCCCUAUUCAUGGCAAUCACAAUUUUUGAGUGUCCCCGAGGUAGUUACAGAGAUUGAGACGCAUAUGUUUUUUCAUUGGAAAGUUUACUCAUAAUAUUUCAGGAUCCUCGAGGUAGUUACAGACAUUGAGACGCGUGUUUUUUCAUUAUCACAAUGUACUGGACAAGGUGACAACCCUUAAAAAUGCAUUUUGGGAUGCAACUUUCGUAAUAGGGAUUAUCAAUUCUCCAUUCUUAGGUAGUUGGAGAAUGUUAUUCUUGGAUAUAUGUUACAGAGAGUAGAAUGGACGUGAUACAGUUGUUAGACAGAUAUACUUUCUAUGUCUUAGUCAUGUUAUAUAGCCAUCGUAUAAGGGGUUUUCUACGUCUUUACCUUUGUACCUGUAUAUACAUAUCGACUUCAUGGAAAUACCAGUUGCAUAUUUCCUAACAUUGUAUCAGAUCAGUUUCUUUCCUGAUAUAAAUGCCGUAACUAGUUCCUCACAAAAGAUUGUGAU